Columba livia (rock pigeon) is the source of this 6985-nucleotide long non-coding RNA. RefSeq lists it as uncharacterized. The record is from RefSeq and is a predicted model, not a curated record. Lineage: Eukaryota; Metazoa; Chordata; Aves; Columbiformes; Columbidae. The transcript is spliced from 4 exons.
CGGGAGGAGAGGAGCAGCGGAGGACGGGGACGCAGCCAGCGUGAGGGUGGGCGCUGAGCUCCACCACUGGUGCAGAAAAGCGGCCGAGGAGCUGCCAGGGUGUAAGGUGGAUUUGUGAGGGUGUGUGUGAAGGUGCUUUCAGAAGACAAAAUGUCUUGAGCUUUGUGCUCCCUUUCUAUGGGCUAGUUCAAUCCAUCGGGGACUCUCCAAAGGGGACAGGAAUAACAUGAGAUCUGAUCUGGUCCUCUCAAGGAACUGAGAAAGCUGAAUUCCUCCUGAGCUUUACCCAAUAUUUUACUGACCUCCUGCUCUAAAACAUCCCUCAUUAAGACUGCUGGUCUUAAGCCAAAGGCCUCAGCGCGGGUGACAAGUGCUGUGCAGACGGAUGUGUCCCUGCAGGACUGGGGAGCAGCUUUGCCAGUUUUGUAAGAUGCCGUAUCCGUGAACCGCUGGCUGCCGACGCUCCUGCGCUGUGGGGUGGAGCUGAGGGCGUUGUGUAACAUCUGCCCUUUGAUUUGCAUGGAAUACUAAUUGCAGGCAGCCUCCCACCCAGACCUAGAGGUACAGGCGCGCCCCUCCGGGCAGAACCGCCUGCGGGGGUGGGCUAAGAGCUCAUAUCCCAAGGCUCCCGAAAUGUUUUCAUUUUUGCGGCUCUCCCGCUCCUGUUCUUGCGCCAGCGCCAUGCACCUCCUAGGACAGAAAUUAACAGGAGAAAAAAAUUACGGAGACUGACGAGAAGAAACAUCUGUCGGCCAAAUGGUCUCUCAGACCGAAGCUGCAGUUUUCAGUCUAUGAACGGCACUUUUUGUGUCCUGCCAGAGGGUGAACCUGGACGGGUGCCCAGGAGUCAAACAAGAGCUGAGCAGAGACAGCAUCAGCACAGCCGGAAAUAGAGGAAAAGGCGGAAUUUUUGUGGAAUCUUCACUCUUUCCUGCUGGUUUCCUGCUUACUACAUGUGAGCAACAGAGACAGCUUUUGUAUUGGCAACUGCAGCACAGCAGCUAUUCUGGGAUGGCCAGGCUGAGGAAAAGAGCCCACGGACAACCCACUGCCACGCGCCCGACUUCAGCCGCUGUUGUGAUGGACAAUUCACCCAAGAACCGCGCUGGUUUCCAUGAGUUUGGUCGAAGUUCUCAGUCUCCCUCUUUUUAUUUCUGUCCUUCCUUUGGCAAAGCCCAUUGGCCGCCAGGGACGGGCCGCGGGAGCCGCCGGUCACCGGCACACAAGCUGCUCCGUUAGGUUGGUUUUCCCUCUCGUGGUCAUGAGAGUUUCUGUUUAUUGAUAUAGGCGGUUCUAUGUGGUCUAUUAACCCAGGAAAACCUUUAUCUGGAGAUCUCACAAACAUGGGUUUUUUUUGGUGCAAGGAUUAAUAAAAACCUUUUGCUUAAGCUUCCUGCUAUUGAAGAACAAAAAUUAAGAUAGACAUUCACCAAGACGUUUCUUUCAUUGUGUUUUGGACUUGGUAUGGCAGUGAAGUAGUGUGAUUUAUGGCGAACACUACAUCCAGCAGCAGGCUGAUGUAAGCUGUGAGUGUGUGUUUUUAUAGAGAGAUUACAUUUAUCUCAAAGCCAGAAGGCUGGUGGGGGAACUUUCCCAGGGUCCUCACAGUAUUUUGCAUAGAAAGGAGGAAAAAACCCAACACGAAACCUUACAAAAAUAGAUAUCAUACUGCAGUUUUGGAAUGGCUUAUGCUAUAAAAACCUGACCUACCCGUGAACAAACUGCAGUCGGACUAAAUGCCUCUGCUUCUCAUGCAAGGGAAGCUUGCUUUCUUUUAAAAGAAAACAGUCCGUGCCCCAUCCCAAAGUGGCCUACGAGCGAGUGCCAGAGGGAUGGGAGGCUUGACAGAUAAUUCGCUAACCAACACUUUGUUAUCGUUAUGGCUCAAACAUGAUUAAUUCCCGUGGAAUUUGUUGUAAUAAUAUUAGCUUUGGUGAUCUCAUUUGUUAAACAUGUUGCUGCCAUUAGGACUCCAGUGCGUUACCUAGAAGACACUGAGCUCGGUCUGUGCCGUACCUGCUGUGGGGUCUGGGUCUCCUCACCUGCCUCUGCUGCCCAGUUCUUCCCUCAAGCCGUCAAGGAAGAACACUGGCACCGGGGUUCGGGACCAGUCCAACCUCCCAGCUGCCACUCCACUCACUGGGAAAUGUUCGCUUUGUUUAAUUUGUCUUCGCUGAGUUUUGGCAUUCACUUCUCUGUCAUCUUCAUCCCCCUGGUCAAAUGUCUCCUCUUUAUCCACCUUCUUACUUCUCUCUCCUGAUGGGUACUGGGUUCUGCUGCCCCAGACUGUUCCUUCCAUCUGCAGCACAACUCUCAGCUGAACUUUAUUACAAAAGGAAGGAAAGAUUAAAUCAGUUUAUAACUCUUUUUUGUUUGCCAAAUGUAUGUGGGACAAUCACAGCUGCUGUCAGAGGUUUCUAGAGUCAGAUCUUCUACCCAGGAUUUAGAACAGCGAUCCACUUUCAAUGAAGGGACCACGGCGGUUCCCUCUAUACUGUUUAACUCUCAUGCAAUUGAACAAGGUUUGCCAGAUACUUAGAGUCAGACUACUGCACUUUUCUUGAGUUUGAGCUCUGCUCCCCAGCAUCUCCCCCCUGCUGUGUGCACCCAGCAAGCCGGCGCUGCAGGAGAUGCUUGUGUGGGUGCGCAGCGCUGGAGAGGAGCUGCUGGGGGCCAGGGCAGGACCCGGGGCUGCUCGGGGCUUCACAGACCCCGACCGGCAGCCCGCAACCCCGGACCCUGAGCUGCCGCGGCCCCGUGCUCCCUUUGCAGGUCUGCCCUGUGCGGGUAUUACACUCUCAUUUCACAGCAGUUGUAAAAGUGCUUUGGUGCCUGCACCACGAGAUGUACAAUUAAUGAUCAAUUUCUUUGUCCUCCCAAGGACAUGUUGUCCUGUUCUCUCAAUGGGCUCUGCAAACAUGACUUAAUGCAUUUCCCUUGGCUUCAUUUCAUCUCGUUCUUUUUAAUUUUAGCCUGUAUCUGAAACCAAUGGGAUGAAACUGUGCAAAAGGACAUUUAAGAUUGAAAGUUGGUUAGAAAAAUAUCACAGCAGCAAGAUCUGUAAAACCUUGGCAGCAUUUCCAAAGGUGAGGGGACGGAAGCCCUUAAAUCAUGUUAAUCUGGGCCUGGUAAGCAGUUUGGGAAUGUGCUGCGGGGGAACUGCACAUGAGGAUGCACUCACAGACUGGCACCAGCGAAGAGUUUUAAAUGCUGAAUGACCCCGAUGUGUUUUUAACUACUCUUCCACCAUGUGUGGACCACCCUGCACUUCAGGAAUACUCAGCACUGAUUCCUCCCCAAUCCCAAUGCUGCUCCCAUGAUAUUUCUCUUCCCUGCUAAGAGCAGGAGCAAAGUAGCUCACUGGGCAAUUAGAGAAGAACAACCAGGGGAGCCCUUCAAAACCAUUUCAUCAUGUCAUGAAGCCCUGGUCCCAGUUGCUUGGGUCCUCAGAACACCUGAGCACGGCACCGCUGCCGCCGCCCGUGACGCUCGAGCGCUGUCCCUGUCCUUGGAGAAGAGCCUCCUCCCGCUCUCCGGGUGACAAUGAUCUGCUCGUGGCACAGAUCUGGCAUGUCCACCACAUCCCACUCCUGCCCGAACCCCUCACACAGUGAACAAUCCUUCAUCGCUCACGUUCUUGCUCUUUUAUAUCGAAUCUAACUUCAUAACAGAACUGAUUUUUUAUGAUUGAGACAAGUACAUAAAUAUGACAAUGCUUGAGUCGUGAUAUAGCAGCUGAUGGUCACUGGAGAAGAAAGGAAGAGCGGCGCAGAAGGGCUGAGGUUCCUGGCGCGCUGGGCUGUCCGGGCUGGCAGAGAGCGCACAGAGCGCGUUUCCCUGGCCGCGUCCCGCCCGCUCCGGCCGACCCCGGGCUCUGCCAGCGCUGCCGCGCAAACCUUGGCUCCAUCGAGAGCUCGAGCACUGGGCCAGCGACUGUCUGUCCUCCUUAAUUACCAGCCUUUGCUGAUGGUACUCUCCAAAACAAUGCCUGAACGCUGUUUGGACAAUAUCAUACAUCAGGAACCAUUGCCAGGAGGCAGCAUGGGCAGCAUACACUUCCGUGCUCUGAUGGACUGCAGCACAGGAUGUGUGCUCCUUCAUCUGCUUUGAACUGAAAAAAAAACAAGGCAUGAAAAAUGAAUGCUUGUGCUUUAGGAGCACAAGGCCUCCACAUGCUAGAGACCAAGGACUAGGAGCUUUGUGAUGUGGACACAGCCAAAUCCGGGCUGUCUGAGCCCAGGGCGCAGGGCCGUUGUGUUUGGUGCUGCCGGCAGAGCCGGGUGCUCCGCACAGAGCCCGGGUCGGUGGUGGGACGGAAGAGCCGCGUCCCGCCCGGAGCCCCGUGCGGUUCCAUCCAGCCCCUCAGAGGUUUGCGGCAUCUGGCAAGCUCAAGGGAGACGCUGAAGCCAGGAUUUUGUCACCAGUGAAAUGCUUCCGAUCUUUUCUACGUGAACUAAAAAACGGGAAGAUAAACUUGCUUUCAAGCUACGGUCACACUGUGUGUGGCAGUGUGUGUCUGCAUAAAGUGGGAAAAGGUUUGAAAGACAAACAACCUCAAACUUUCAGGUCACAUGAAGUAAGAAAUGUGUUUUAUUUUUCUCAUGGGAGCAUGAUGCAAAAAGCUAAGAAUCAAUAGCUGAAAGAAAAAAGUGUCUGAAGUAUGCAUUUAUUUUAUUCUUCUCAUGUUUUUGCAAGUGAAAAAUGUUGGAUACGGAAAGAAACUGGAGAAGCCUUUCACUUUCUCAAAUGAAAGAAAAGGAAAUUUGAGGAGGACCAUGCUACACUCAGCAUGCAUAUAUUUCUACUGAUUUCCAAAAGAUUGAUUGAAGUGAAAAAAUGUGGCUCUGAAUAGAGAAACAAAAUGUUUCAGUCCCUGGGAAAAUGACAUUGCAAACCACAUUUUCACUGACAAAUCGCACCAGUGACAGUGCGAUUCGGGAGCUGCUCAGAGGGGAUGGGUGACCUCUGGGGAGCUGUGAGCAGGAGGGCUUGGGACCCCAGGAGGGGACAUGGGGAGCCCGGAGCUGCGGCAGCGCGAGGCGCGCCGGGCCGUGCGGCUGCAGAGCGGGCAACGCUGCUCGCCUGCCCUGCCCUUUGCUCUCCCGCCCCACCUGCUCACGGGAACUCUGGUCCCAUGUGAAGUGCAGAUACUCUUGAUCAUUCAGCUCAGGUGUCCUUGCAGAAUAUCAUCAGCACUGUGAUUUGCAGCUGCUCUCACUCUCACAGCCCAGCCAACCUCACCUGUUCGCACUUAUUUAUAGAGUCAAGCGCUGGCCACAAUCUCUCAGGUUCUGGCAGUGUGUGCUGUUGUUCCCUUGCAAGGGUCAGCUCGGUUCCUCACCUUGUUUCACACCCGCUCAGCUGUGGCACCGGCCCAUUUCCUGCGGGACGUUCCAGCGGACUGCUCAAAGCUGCCUGGGAAAAUGUCCCUGCUGCUGCUCCAGCACUCCGUCUUCUGGGCCCGCAAGCAGGCACAACACUUUAUUUGCAUUAUUUUUACAUGGACUUUAAAAAUAAAAUCCAGCCCCCAAAGUGAAAAGUCCCCCCUGUAUUUUUGUGACCAGCAGCUCUUUCCCUGGAGAGCCUGUGAGCCCAGGAUUGUGAAGAAUGUUCCCAUGCAGCUUCCACAGCACCACCCGUCAUGGAAACCGGGGCUCUGCCAGCGGCCGGGCCGCCGGGGAGCGGGCGGAGCGGAGCCCGGAGCCCGGCCCCGGCUGCGGCGGCGGCGCUCGGCAGGGCCGGGGCCGCCCCCUGGUGGCGGCGGGGGGAGGGCGGAGCCGGGCUGGGCCCCGUUCCGCAGGGCGGGCGGCCGGCGCCGCCGCUCCGGGCGGUGCCAGGAGCCGCGUAUCGGGCUGUGCGGUGAGCGGGUGGUUCGGGUGUGCGGGGGGAGGAGAGCGCUGCCAACACCGUGCUAGAGGCGACCAGGCUGGAGCAACGGGAAACGUGAGCACUGAGCAGUGGCUACAGGUGCAAGGCAUGUUCCCUGCCAUGUUUCCCUCCCGUUUCUUGCAUCCAUCACCCUAAAUUUGGCUUCGUGUCUACUAAGAAGUUGCAAAUCCUCAGGGCUAGAGCGGCCUCAUCCUGGCUUGGGAACACCAUGUGUGCAAAGCUUACCCAUCAGGUUAGAAGCUUACCUGCUUGGAAAAGUGACUCUGCCUCAUGAAGAAGUGACCCUGCCUGCUACAGUUUUACGAUUCAGCGUUGGUAUUUACUCAGCCUUUGACAGGAAGCUGCGAGAGCAGCCCCGACGCUAUCGAGCCCUUCGAUCUGCCCUGCGUGCAGCCUACAGAGCCCUGCGCGGUCCCUGCAGGCGUUUUAACCCGCUCAGCAGGGUGAUCGGUGCGCUGACGCUGAGCCUUCCUUGGGCAGUGUGCUCUGAUGGGCACUGUCUCGCCUCUCUGGGUGCCAAUUGUAAGUUCACUGUCUGGAUAAGGCUGUGGUGCUGAUUAAAAUACACUUUUUACCGUGCUCUGUUGGAUUUGUGUGAUGUUCCAUAAGCUGCUUUGAAAGUAGACGUUGGUUUAUAUAUUUGAAUUCCUGAGACUGAGGGUUUUCAAAGCUCACUGGCAUUCACAUUCUGGGAUAAGAUUAAGCUGUCAAGUUCAACAGAACUUCUUCUCUCUCUUAUUUUUCCACGCUCUUGCCUGGAGGAGUCCCCAAUUCACACCUGACUGAGUAAAGAAUGUCAAACAACUCAGCUGCUCUGGCAAAAGGGGAGAAAUCCCUGGUUAGUACAUACUGGUGUUUCAGCCUGCCCCGGUGCUCUGGGCAGUGUCACAUGGAGCUGGGCAGUGGGAAGAUGUGUGCUGUUGGAAUUGCACUGAAGUGGAAAAUGCUCUGGAAGGUCUCAAAAGCUCCAUCGCAAGAGGAAAGAUGUGACUGGAAACACAUACAGUGUGGUGGAGAUAUUGUGGUCUGUUUGGUGGGUCUGUCCCAGCUCAGCUCUAGCAGGGAGGUAUAUGGUUUAGUGAAUAUUCUCUGAAGA